RNAcentral lists this ribosomal RNA (492 nucleotides) under uncultured bacterium. RNAcentral's name for it is "partial 16S ribosomal RNA". It matches the Rfam family "Bacterial small subunit ribosomal RNA", at positions 29 to 507 of the family's 1533-position model. The record is from RNAcentral.
AGUGAACGCUGGCUGUAGGCCUAACACAUGCAAGUCGAACGGCAGCACAGUAAGAGCUUGCUCUUACGGGUGGCGAGUGGCGGACGGGUGAGGAAUACAUCGGAAUCUACUUUUUCGUGGGGGAUAACGUAGGGAAACUUACGCUAAUACCGCAUACGACCUACGGGUGAAAGCAGGGGAUCUUCGGACCUUGCGCGAUUGAAUGAGCCGAUGUCGGCUUAGCUAGUUGGCGGGGUAAAGGCCCACCAAGGCGACGAUCCGUAGCUGGUCUGAGAGGAUGAUCAGCCACACUGGAACUGAGACACGGUCCAGACUCCUACGGGAGGCAGCAGUGGGGAAUAUUGGACAAUGGGCGCAAGCCUGAUCCAGCCAUACCGCGUGGGUGAAGAAGGCCUUCGGGUUGUAAAGCCCUUUUGUUGGGAAAGAAAAGCAGCAGGUUAAUACCCCGCUGUUCUGACGGUACCCAAAGAAUAAGCACCGGCUAACUUCGUG